Cyanistes caeruleus (blue tit) is the source of this 880-nucleotide long non-coding RNA. The record is from Ensembl. NCBI's taxonomy places the organism in Eukaryota, Metazoa, Chordata, Aves, Passeriformes, Paridae.
GUGUCAGUGUCACUGUGUCACCAUGUCACUGUGUCCCUGUGUCACGGUGUCACUGUGUCACUGUGUCACUGUGUCACUGUGUCACGGUGUCACUGUGUACCUGUGUCACUGUGUCAGUGUCACUGUGUCCCUGUGUCAUGGUGUCACUGUGUACCUGUGUCAGUGUCACUGUGUCACCAUGUCACUGUGUCCCUGUGUCACGGUGUCACUGUGUCACUGUGUACCUGUGUCAGUGUCACUGUGUCACCAUGUCACUGUGUCACAGUGUCACUGUGAGGUGGCACUGUGGGGUGGCACUGAUGUCACCAUGUCACGGUGUCACUGUGUCACGGUGUCCCUGUGUCACUGUGUCACGGUGUCACUGUGUCACUGUGAGGUGUCACUGUGUCACCAAUGGCACUGUGUCCCUGUGUCACUGUGUCACGGUGUCACGGUGUCACGGUGUCACUGUGUACCUGUGUCAGUGUCACUGUGUCACCAUGUCACUGUGUCACCGUGUCACUGUGUACCUGUGUCACUGUGUCACUGUGUCACUGUGUCACCGUGUCACCGCGUGCCGUGCCCGGGUGUUCCCGCUCUUUGUCGCUGUCACACCCUGAGUGACCCUCGGGUGUCAGGGGUGGGGACACGGACAGGUGACAAUGGACAGGUGACACAGACAGGUGACACACGGACAGGUGACACAGACAGACACAGGGACCGGUGACAAUGGACAGGUGACACAGGUGACACGGACAGACACAUGGACAGGUGACAAUGGAAAGGUGACACAAACAGGUGACAAUGGACAGGUGACACAAGUACAGGUGACACAAACAGGUGACAAUGGACAGGUGACAAUGGACAGGUGACACAGGUACAGGUGACAAUGGACAGGUGA